This 1219-nucleotide long non-coding RNA is filed under the name Camelus dromedarius (Arabian camel). RNAcentral's name for it is "lncRNA (ENSCDRG00005002387.1)". Lineage: Eukaryota; Metazoa; Chordata; Mammalia; Artiodactyla; Camelidae. The record is from RNAcentral.
GAAAUACAUGAAUCUCAUGGUCUCUGAGGCUCUCCCACGCACUGAGUGCUUUCUUUGAAGUCUUGAUACUGAAAAUCAGGAAAAAGUACUGAAAAAAGUGGCACUGGGAGAAACAUUUUUUUUUUUAACUUAUGUUUUAUAACACAAGCAGUUCCCUGGAUAAAAAGCUUACCUGUUUUAUAAGAAUAGUUAUGGAAUAGUCGCUGUCUGUGCAAAGCGCUGUUUCAAGCUCUCAGUGAGGAAUCCAAAGUUGAGUAAUACCUGAUUUCUAUCUUAAAGUUGAUUCAAGUUGCUUAUAAACUUAUUGGGGAAACAAAAAAUGUAUUGAGGGCCUACUGGGUGCUAAUACUGUGCUAAGUGCUAGAAAUAAAAAAAUAAGAAUCUCUGUUAUCAAGAAUGUAUGGUCUAGUGAGGGAGAGAGGCAAUGAAUUGUCCUGUAACAAUACCGAAAGAUAAAUACAAAGAUGGAAGGCUGUUCGGGGACAGGGUGUGGGAGGCCAGAGGAAGGGCAUGGAAAAGGAUCGUCUGGAGCAGGAGAUGGUUAAAUGUGCCCUGAAGAAAGAAGAGGAGGUAGCUAGGUAGAGAGCUGAGUGCCUUCGUUCAUACCACUGAUUCAAUGCAGAAAACAGACCCUAAAUUCUAAAUGGCACACUGGAAACAGAAUUUCAAAACAAAGUCCAUUGGCUUCUGAUCUCUUUUUAAGAGCCCUGGAAAUCGAUCAUUUGAAUUUCCUGAAGGAGGGGAAGCUUUAAACACCACCUGGAAACCCAUGCAUAAAGGACCUUUACUAGGAGUUCUGUCUACUCUCUACUUGUUAGUCAGCAGCUUAAACAAAGGUAAAGAGCAGACUUAAAGUGACCACAUGACCCUGUCUGGGUUGUAGGAACACAGAAGAGGGGAGAGUGGUUAGUUCCGAUUGGGAGAAGUUUUCUUGGAGCAUUGACUUUGAAGGAGGAGAUGGGGCACAGAAGGGCAAGUAUGGAAAACAGGCCAGGCAGCGGGAGUUGAAUGAGAAAGGAUUCAGUGGGUGGAAAUACAUGAUGUACGUGGGCAGCAGUGCAGAUCGUGGAAUAAUUUUGCUUUGCGCGUGGAGAUAUGCAGUGGAAGAUCAGGCGAGGAAGACGUUGCCUCAGCUCAGACUCUCAAGUCUGUUGAUUACACCAUUAAAUUAGAACAGUGCCUGGGACAUCGGUAAGUAUAUUCUAUUAUUAUCUUUAUU